AUUGAACGCUGGCGGCAUGCUUUACACAUGCAAGUCGAACGGCAGCGCGGGCUUCGGCCUGGCGGCGAGUGGCGAACGGGUGAGUAAUACAUCGGAACGUGCCCAGCAGUGGGGGAUAGCUCGGCGAAAGCCGGAUUAAUACCGCAAAAGACCUGAGGGUGAAAGCGGGGGAUCUUCGGACCUCGCGCUCUUGGAGCGGCCGAUGGCGGAUUAGCUAGUUGGUGGGGUAAAGGCCUACCAAGGCGACGAUCUGUAGCUGGUCUGAGAGGACGACCAGCCACACUGGGACUGAGACACGGCCCAGACUCCUACGGGAGGCAGCAGUGGGGAAUUUUGGACAAUGGGCGAAAGCCUGAUCCAGCAAUGCCGCGUGUGUGAUGAAGGCCUUCGGGUUGUAAAGCACUUUUGGCGGGAACGAAAAGGACUGUGCCAAUACCACGGUUCGAUGACGGUACCCGCAGAAUAAGCACCGGCUAACUACGUG
RNAcentral lists this ribosomal RNA (484 nucleotides) under uncultured bacterium. Its description in RNAcentral is "partial 16S ribosomal RNA". It matches the Rfam family "Bacterial small subunit ribosomal RNA", at positions 29 to 507 of the family's 1533-position model. The record is from RNAcentral.